Tympanuchus pallidicinctus (lesser prairie-chicken) is the source of this 1449-nucleotide long non-coding RNA. RefSeq lists it as uncharacterized. Lineage: Eukaryota; Metazoa; Chordata; Aves; Galliformes; Phasianidae. The transcript has 5 exons. The record is from RefSeq and is a predicted model, not a curated record.
GAGAGAAAACCUUUUUUUGUUCCAGCUGUAAAACUGGCUGUCUUUAUCAAAAUUCUUCCUAAAACUAUGCCAGAAUGUCAAUACAACUGACAUUUAAUAGACAAAAGAGAAUGCUUGUAUACAUGCAUACAACACUUCUGAAUCCUGACUGUACCCCAAAACAUGGGACUACAGGAAAAAAAAAAAAACAAAAUCGUCUGCAGCCCAUGCUUAGGGAGCUUAUGCCAAUAAGCACUUCAGAAGUCCGUUACCCAGAACGUGGUAUCGUGUUAUCCAGAAGAAAUUGAAAUCAGGCAACGUCACAUUUUCAAAAGUUUUACAGCUGGGACUGGCGGAGCAGUUCUUGCUGAAAGCACCCUUAGGUGCAGUGUGUCUUUGCUCAUCUUGGGUUUUCCUUACAUAUCUGAGCCCUCUCAGGACAUGGCCUAAUUAAACACACAGCACUGCAAAUAAACCUGGAAACUGCUGCUGGAAAAUAAAAUGGAAUUGAGAUAAAUGUUAUUAAUUGAAUAUUAUAAUAAAUCAUGGUGAAGGAACUUGAGCUUUUAGGCUUUGCCUUUAAGUGAAUAAAAAAAAAAUAAAAUGAUUAGAAGAGGAUGAGAGCUGUAGCUAUUGGCUUUUAAACUAGACUAGAUAAAGCAGGCUAUCUGUGUCUGAAUAGCACGCUGUUUUGCUGUCCCUGCACAGUAUACAUGCCACCUGCUGUUAGCACAUCCCAAUGCUAUGCUCAGAUCAGCUCAAAUCGCUCGACCCUACCCAUGGAUGCAUCCACUGAUGGAGUGAAGAGAAGUACAGGAGGGUCUCACACUUUGCCAACAUCCCCUGGCAUAGGUGGGAGCGGCUCUGUGGAACUCAGGUGCCUCUCUGAGCUGACAGCUCUGACUGACUGACUGCCUUUCGUUUAAGGAGAAAACGUGUUGCAGUACCAACAGCGGGAGGGAGUGACGAGGGGAGCAGUUCAUAGCAGAGGACGGAGGCUGCCAGGGGCAGCACCCGCCCCACUGCGCUUUCUCAGGGCGGCCACCGCCUGCGGCGGAACACGGCACACGGGGAGGCUGUUUCCCAGCCGGCGGGGAAGUGCAAGGAAGAAGCAAUGCGAGACCGCCGCCCUGAAGAAAUCAUUUAUAUGUACCAUGCAGAGGAAAAUGUAAGCAUGUGAAAUAUUGGUGCCUUAUGUAGAAGGAGUUUGAACAGCAAGACAGAUCUUCUAGCAAUGCGCACUAAUGAUCUGACAUCUGCGUUUCACAGAAUCACUGAACUGUGAGCACUGGAAGGGACCUCUAGGGAGCAUUAAAUCCAACCCCCCUGCAAAGCACGCCCCCUACAGCAGGCUGCACAGGUAUCAGACCACAGAAUGUACAUCCAAAAGGACCUGCCACCUACCACGGAUAACUCUUGAAAAUGUUUUUUCUUCCCCAUCUUCUUCACAGUAUACUAUCUUUACACUUG